AGUUUGAUCCUGGCUCAGGAUGAACGCUAGCUGGAGGCUUAAUACAUGCAAGUCGAGCGGGAUUGGUAGCAAUACCAUGAGAGCGGCGCACGGGUGAGUAACGCGUACACGACCUACCUCUGACAGGGGGAUAGCCCCGGGAAACUGGGAUUAAUACCGCAUAUUAUUCUGAUUAAUAAAGGAUUGGAAUGAAAGUUCAGGCGGUCAGAGAUGGGUGUGCGUCUGAUUAGCUAGUUGGUAGGGUAACGGCCUACCAAGGCGAUGAUCAGUAGGGGGCGUGAGAGCGUGGUCCCCCACACGGGUACUGAGACACGGACCCGACUCCUACGGGAGGCAGCAGUAAGGAAUAUUGGUCAAUGGGCGAAAGCCUGAACCAGCCAUCCAGCGUGCAGGAAGAAGGCCCUAUGGGUUGUAAACUGCUUUUAUCAGGGAAGAAACCUCUGGAUUUACUCCGGAGCUGACGGUACCUGAAGAAUAAGCACCGGCUAACUCCGUGCCAGCAGCCGCGGUAAUACGGAGGGUGCGAGCGUUAUCCGGAAUUACUGGGUUUAAAGGGUGCGUAGGCGGCUUUGUAAGUCAGGAGUGAAAGUUUGCAGCUCAACUGUAAAAUUGCUUCUGA
RNAcentral lists this ribosomal RNA (619 nucleotides) under uncultured bacterium. Its description in RNAcentral is "bacterial SSU rRNA". It matches the Rfam family "Bacterial small subunit ribosomal RNA", at positions 10 to 630 of the family's 1533-position model. The record is from RNAcentral.